AUGUGCAUCCCGUAGAAGCUAGGUGGUAUGGGAUUCCGUGAUUUGUGUUCUUUCAACAUGGCCAUGCUCUCAAAACAGUCAUGGCGGCUUUUGAAUAAACAAGACUCGCUGUGUGCUAAAGUGUUAAGAGCUAAAUACUAUCCAGGCGGAAAGCUCUUAAAUGUUGGCCCUAAGAAGGGCUCCUCUUAUACUUGUCAAAGCAUAAUUGCAGGUUUACCAACUUUUAGGAGGGGGCAUAUUUGGAGAGUUGGGUCUGGGAGUAAUAUCAAUAUUUCGGAGGACCAUUGGAUCCCAAACUGUCCAUCCAGGAAAGUACUUACCAAAAGGGGUCAGUGUCUUCUUCGGCAUGUCGAUGAGUUGAUUGAUCAAGAUACUCAUUGCUAGCAUGAGCCACUUAUUCGAGACAUUUUCAUGCAUGUUGAUGCUCAGAAUAUUCUCAUGAUUCCUUUGAGUGAACACUUGCAGGAGGACUUUGUGGCUUGGCAUAAAACAAAGUCCUUUGUCUUCUCGGUACGGUCUGCUUAUUACAUAGAAUGGGAGCACCAGUUUGGCGCAAAAACAAGAUGA
This 567-nucleotide ribosomal RNA is filed under the name Triticum aestivum (bread wheat). RNAcentral's name for it is "partial small subunit ribosomal RNA". The record is from RNAcentral. Lineage: Eukaryota; Viridiplantae; Streptophyta; Magnoliopsida; Poales; Poaceae.